GAUGAACGCUAGCGGCAGGCUUAAUACAUGCAAGUCGAGGGGCAGCACGGUUAGCAAUAACUGGUGGCGACCGGCGCACGGGUGCGUAACACGUAUACAAUCUACCUUAAACAGGGGGAUAGCCUUUCGAAAGAGAGAUUAAUACCCCGUAAUAAAUUGAACGGCAUCGUUUGAUUUUGAAAGCUCCGGCGGUUUGAGAUGAGUAUGCGUCUGAUUAGCUAGUUGGUGAGGUAACGGCUCACCAAGGCGACGAUCAGUAGGGGAUCUGAGAGGACUAACCCCCCACACUGGUACUGAGACACGGACCAGACUCCUACGGGAGCAGCAGUAAGG
RNAcentral lists this ribosomal RNA (333 nucleotides) under uncultured bacterium. Its description in RNAcentral is "bacterial SSU rRNA". It matches the Rfam family "Bacterial small subunit ribosomal RNA", at positions 28 to 359 of the family's 1533-position model. The record is from RNAcentral.